RNAcentral lists this ribosomal RNA (402 nucleotides) under bacterium. RNAcentral's name for it is "partial 16S ribosomal RNA". It matches the Rfam family "Bacterial small subunit ribosomal RNA", at positions 355 to 776 of the family's 1533-position model. The record is from RNAcentral.
UGGGGAAUUUUGCACAAUGGGGGAAACCCUGAUGCAGCGACGCCGCGUGAUUUAGAAGGCCUUCGGGUUGUAAAAAUCUUUUCUAUGGGAAGAAAAUGACAGUACCAUAGGAAUAAGGACCGGCUAGUUACGUGCCAGCAGCCGCGGUAAUACGUAAGGUCCGAGCGUUGUCCGGAAUCAUUGGGCGUAAAGGGUACGUAGGCGGGUAAGCAAGUUAGAAGUGAAAUCCUAUAGCUCAACUAUAGUAAGCUUUUAAAACUGCUCAUCUUGAGGUAUGGAAGGGAAAGUGGAAUUCCUAGUGUAGCGGUGAAAUGCGCAGAUAUUAGGAGGAAUACCGGUGGCGAAGGCGACUUUCUGGCCAUAACCUGACGCUGAGGUACGAAAGCGUGGGUAGCAAACAGG